GUAAUACGUAGGGUGCAAGCGUUAUUGGAAAUUACUGGGCGUAAAGCGUGCGCAGGCGGUCGGAAAGAAAGAUGUGAAAUCCCAGAGCUUAACUGGAACGCAUUUUUAACUACCGAGCUAGAGUGUGUCAGAGGGAGGUGGAAUUCCGCGGUAGCAGUGAAAUGCGUAGAUAUGCGGAGGAACACCGAUGGCGAAGGCAGCCUCCUGGGAUAACACUGACGCCAUGCACGAGAGCGUGGGGAGCAAACAGGAUAGAUACCCUGGUAGUCCACGCCCUAAACGAUGUCAACUAGCUGUUGGGGCCUUCGGGCCUUGGUAGCGCAGCUAACGCGUGAAGUUGACCGCCUGGGGAGUACGGUCGCAAGAUUAAAACUCAAAGGAAUUGACGGGGACCCGCACAAGCGGUGGAUGAUGUGGAUUAAUCGAUGCAACGCGAAAAACCUACCUACCCUUGACAGCUGGAAUGCCGAAGAGAUGGUAGUGCUCGCAAGAGAACCGGAACACAGGGCGCAUGGCGUCGUCAGCUCGGUCGUGAGAUGUGGGUUAAGUCCCGCAACGAGCGCAACCCUUGUCAUUAGUGCUACGAAGGGCACUCUAAUGAGACUGCCGGUGACAAACCGGAGGAAGGUGGGGAUGACGUCAAGUCCUCAUGGCCCUUAUGGGUAGGGCUUCACACGUCAUACAAUGGUCGGGACAGAGGGUCGCCAACCCGCGAGGGGGAGCCAAUCCCAGAAACCCGAUCGUAGCCGGAUCGCAGUCUGCAACUCGACGCGUGAAGUCGGAAUCGCUAGUAAUCGCGGAUCAGCAUGUCGCGGUGAAUACGUUCCCGGGUCUGUACACACCGCCCGUCACACCAUGGGAGUUGUUGCACCAGAAGCAGGUAGCUUAACCUUCGGGAGGGCGCUGCCACGGUGUGGCCGAUGACUGGGGU
This 931-nucleotide ribosomal RNA is filed under the name uncultured bacterium. RNAcentral describes it as "bacterial SSU rRNA". It matches the Rfam family "Bacterial small subunit ribosomal RNA", at positions 520 to 1481 of the family's 1533-position model. The record is from RNAcentral.